Molecule: long non-coding RNA, 690 nt
Organism: Dioscorea cayenensis subsp. rotundata (Guinea yam)
Lineage: Eukaryota; Viridiplantae; Streptophyta; Magnoliopsida; Dioscoreales; Dioscoreaceae
Exons: 3
Source: RefSeq, a predicted model, not a curated record
AUUGAAAGAAAAAAAAACAGCUUUAUUUUGCAGUGCUUUCAGCCGUGAGUGGGAUCAAAGAAAAGGCAACUUCAAUAAGCACUGACCAUGCGAUAUUUCUCCAUGAAGUGUACCAUGCUCAGGAAAUUCGAAGGAAGCUGCUUCUCAAUCUAAUGCUAUCUGAUGUGCAUGCUGGUUGCAUUUAUUAAUUUGCUAAUGCGGAUUGAGUUAAAUUGCAUACGGAGUUGGAUCGCAGGGAUCUAUUUUUUAACCCCAGUCAUCUCAGAGCUUGUCUACCGGUACAUCAUUGAAGGCAGUAAAUACUGAGAUCAAAGAGCUGAAGCAGGCAAUUAUGCAAUUGCAAGAUAACAACAAAGAGCUUCAACAGAGUUUGAACGAGAUGAAGGAGGAAAGGGACCAAUAUCGGGAGGAGCUGCUACGCCAGAUGAAAGACAUGAUGGAGCAUUUCGAGACGAGGAUGCUUUAGAGCUUGCAAUUUAGCAAUCUGUACUCACAGCCGUUGACUGAUGAUGAUGAUGAUCAUUUAGAUGACAUUUAGUGCCAUGUAGUACUACUGUUUUUACUUGUAGCGUGUUGUAUUGAACAAAUGUGUGUUUUGUAGUAUUGUGUAGUAUUGUGUUAAAACCGAUAUUUUGUGUUAAAACUAGUAUUUUGUGCUGAAAUAAUUACAUGUGAUAUAUUUGGGUAUUA